This 497-nucleotide ribosomal RNA is filed under the name uncultured bacterium. RNAcentral's name for it is "partial 16S ribosomal RNA". It matches the Rfam family "Bacterial small subunit ribosomal RNA", at positions 28 to 507 of the family's 1533-position model. The record is from RNAcentral.
GACGAACGCUGGCGGCGUGCCUAAUACAUGCAAGUUGAGCGAUGAAGAUUGGUGCUUGCACCAAUUUGAAGAGCAGCGAACGGGUGAGUAACGCGUGGGGAAUCUGCCUUUGAGCGGGGGACAACAUUUGGAAACGAAUGCUAAUACCGCAUAACAACUUUAAACAUAAGUUUUAAGUUUGAAAGAUGCAAUUGCAUCACUCAAAGAUGAUCCCGCGUUGUAUUAGCUAGUUGGUGAGGUAAGGGCUCACCAAGGCGAUGAUACAUAGCCGACCUGAGAGGGUGGUCGGCCACAUUGGGACUGAGACACGGCCCAAACGCCUACGGGAGGCAGCAGUAGGGAAUCUUCGGCAAUGGACGAAAGUCUGACCGAGCAACGCCGCGUGAGUGAAGAAGGUUUUCGGAUCGUAAAACUCGGUUGGUAGAGAAGAACGUUGGUGAGAGUGGAAAGCUCAUCAAGUGACGGUAACUACCCAGAAAGGGACGGCUAACUACGUG